UAAAUUCAAUUAUGUGAUCUGCGAAGACGAGAAAGAGACUCCAUUCUUUCGUGGUUCAGUUCAACACUUAAACCAGAGGCUCUGUUGCUUGCUCAUAAUUUUUUAUUAAAUCAUAUUCUAACUCUAAUAUCUCCCUUUUAUCCUUCUUCUUCUUCUUCAAUUUAUUUCUUGGAAAAUUGAGAAAUGUCAAUGGGGAACGAGUCAAGUUGGGUUGGGAAGAAGCCUAUCAGGCGCAUUGGUGGCAUGUCAGACGCACUCUCCAUCGCCGCCGAUCUUGGUUUCUCCGUCUCCGCUUCCCAACCACCGCCUCAGGAAUCUUCUCUUCCGAGUAGCGGCGAAAAGGGCGAGGACUUGGUCAGGGUUUUGAGGGAACUAACCACUGUUCAACGCAAGAUCGCGGAUUUGCAAGUCGAACUUCAAGGACGCAAGGAUGAUAAGAAUGUUGCGCAUUUGACGCAUGUGAGUGAAAUGGAAAAGAAAAUUGAGACUUUGGGGAGGAUUACCGCCAUACUGAAAGAUGUUAUCCAGAAUAAGGAUCGCAUCAUAGCUCGCCUGCAGCAGCCUUAUUCUCUUGAUUGCAUUCCUGUAGAAGCAGAAUUUCAGAAACAAUUCUCUGAACUACUGAUGAAGGCAGCUAGUGAUUAUGGUGCCUUGACAGCAUCAGUGGCAGAUUUUCAGUGGAGUCAGAAUUUCAAGGAACCUCCUUCAGUUUGGGGGGAAAUGCUUCGACCCAUUCCAGUAGCUUUGGCAUCUUGCACUCGCUUCUUUGAAGCAAUGUCUGCCACAAGAGAGUCAUUUGCAGCCCUUCAGAAAUUGAGAGUGGGUCAAUUUGAUUCCCUUAUACCAAGUACUCCGGCGAGAGAUCCUUCCCAAAGACUGCCCGGAGUUUCUGAUUGUCUGACUCCACCUCCAAUGGAAAACUGAAGCAAACCUCGAUGAGAUAGUUGUCAGAAAUUGAAGGAAGUAAGAAUUAGUUCAACAAGCACCAUGAUUCAAACAACUAGCUUGACAGGUGAGCUGUUAAAUGAUCAAUAUGGAGUUUUUAUCAUAAAAAGGUUACCAAUAUGUUGCAACUCUUAUGGUCGUAGCCAAGAAAUUGAAAGAUGAAAUAUAUAGUAGAGGAGAAAAAGACGUCUUAAAUACAAGUGAAUGAAAAACGGUCCACAAUGGGUUUAUCAGCUAAUGUAUAGAGACUUGGGGUGAAACAAAGAGAUGAUACGCAACACUUUCCCUCAACAAAUAGUUGCCUCUAUUCUACAAACUUCUACUUGCAAUCAUGAUGAUGAAUUAAUUUGGUCAUUUUAGAUGAAAGAAGCAUAUAGUUGAGUUUGAAUAGAAAGUUGCAUUUCAGUUGCUCCAUGAACAAACAAAUAUGCUUCCAGAUUACAUGCAGAACAAGAAGAACUAGAGUGCAUUGCGCGACAUGCGUAUGUCUCAAAGUGUGUGUUCAUAUAGAAGUUGGUGGACGAAGUUUUAUUGUGAAAACAAAGCUCAACCACUGAAUACUCUCAAUUUCAUCUAUCUAGCUAGUUUAUGAUCUAGAAUUAAAAUUUGUACACUUUUGGUUUGCUGGUUGUUAUGCAUCUCUCAGCCAAUUUGGUACCUGCUAGGAUUAGGCAGAACUAUACCUCAUGAUCCCUUUCUUCACACUAAUUAAGAGAGCAAAUUAAUUGAUAAUUUCUAUAACUAAGUUGAUGUAAAGAGAAAGCUACAUUUAGUGGCUGUUAGCUGCUGGCACAUGUUGAUAUCUCCGAU
This is an RNA transcript of Arachis stenosperma, 1755 nucleotides long. It is a transcript of the gene named AUGMIN subunit 2-like, with no coding region annotated. The transcript has 8 exons. NCBI's taxonomy places the organism in Eukaryota, Viridiplantae, Streptophyta, Magnoliopsida, Fabales, Fabaceae. The record is from RefSeq and is a predicted model, not a curated record.